This 429-nucleotide ribosomal RNA is filed under the name Diplommatina fluminis. Its description in RNAcentral is "partial large subunit ribosomal RNA". It matches the Rfam family "Bacterial large subunit ribosomal RNA", at positions 1819 to 2592 of the family's 2925-position model. Lineage: Eukaryota; Metazoa; Mollusca; Gastropoda; Architaenioglossa; Diplommatinidae. The record is from RNAcentral.
CUCUUUGAAAUUAAUAAAGAGUCUGAUCUGCCCAGUGACGUUCGUUAAACGGCUGCAGUAUCCUGACUGUGCGAAGGUAGCAUAAUAAUAUGUCUCAUAAUUAGAGAAUGGAAUCAAUGAUUUGACUAAGAUAUACCUGUCUCUUGUAUAUUUUGUAAAAAUUGACCUACAGGUCAAAAGGCCUAAAUAAAAUUAAAAGACGAGAAGACCCUAUUGAGCUUCGACUGGGACAAAAAAAACUCCCUUUAAAUAAAUAUAAUACAUAUUUUUUGAUCCAAAAUAUUUUGAACAAAAAAUAAGCUACCAUAGGGAUAACAGCGUUAUUCUUUUUGAGAGUCCCAAUCGAAAAAAGAGCCUACGACCUCGAUGUUGGAUUAGGAUAAGAAGAGGUUGCAGAAGCUUCUUUUUUUAGUCUGUUCGACUAUUAAU